RNAcentral lists this unclassified non-coding RNA (25 nucleotides) under Mus musculus (house mouse). RNAcentral's name for it is "oocyte_clustered_small_RNA6712". The record is from RNAcentral. Lineage: Eukaryota; Metazoa; Chordata; Mammalia; Rodentia; Muridae.
UACUCUUACAGUAUGGCCUUGGUGG